GGGGGCGUCUUGGAUUCGACAGGGGUCAGUUUGAAUCAGGCAGCAGUCGUUGGCAAACGUUACAUGCACAAACAAAUAUCUGGAAACAGAACAAAUUACGCUUUCGCUUAAUAGUCGACAUAGACUUGCGAAUGCAGACCUAUCUGCGCUUACACCUUUAGAGUCUGUAACAUAACCUGUAAGAUAAGGGAUAUAGGAUGUUCUGACUAUAUUCAUGAAAAUCAAUUAGAAAUCGGUAUGCGAAAGAUUGCUUAUUGAUCGUAACAUACUUAAAUUGAUUCAAUAAGAUAAACUGUAGACACCUGAUAUGGAACGGCUUUUGGACGGGGGUUCGAUUCCCCCCGCCUCCACCA
Catenibacterium sp. CAG:290 is the source of this 353-nucleotide non-coding RNA. It matches the Rfam family "transfer-messenger RNA". From Rfam's summary of the family: Bacterial tmRNA, also known as 10Sa RNA or SsrA, is named for its dual tRNA and mRNA-like properties. Its role is to liberate the mRNA from a stalled ribosome. The record is from Rfam. NCBI's taxonomy places the organism in Bacteria, Bacillati, Bacillota, Erysipelotrichia, Erysipelotrichales, Coprobacillaceae.